This 501-nucleotide ribosomal RNA is filed under the name uncultured Oscillibacter sp. RNAcentral describes it as "partial 16S ribosomal RNA". The record is from RNAcentral. Lineage: Bacteria; Bacillati; Bacillota; Clostridia; Eubacteriales; Oscillospiraceae.
CACGUAGUUAGCCGUGGCUUAUUCAAGGGGUACCGUCUUCUGCUCUUCCCCCUUAAAAGAAGUUUACAACCCGGAAGCCUUCUUCCUUCACGCGGCGUUGCUGGGUCAGACUUGCGUCCAUUGCCCAAUAUUCCCCACUGCUGCCUCCCGUAGGAGUCUGGGCCGUAUCUCAGUCCCAAUGUGGCCGGCCAACCUCUCAGUCCGGCUACUGAUCGUCGCCUUGGUGGGCCGUUACCUCACCAACUAGCUAAUCAGACGCGAGGCCAUCUUCCAGCGAUAAAUCUUUGACAUCAGUGCCAUGCGACACCAAUGCGUCAUGCGGUAUUAGCAGUCGUUUCCAACUGUUGUCCCCCUCUGGAAGGCAGGUUCCUCACGCGUUACUCACCAGUCCGCCACUAAGCAUUCCCAUCCGUUGUCCGAAAACUCCUUCAAGGGUGCUCCGUUCGACUUGCAUGUGUUAAGCACGCCGCCAGCGUUCGUCCUGAGCCAGGAUCAAACUCU